ACGAACGCUGGCGGCGUGCCUAAUACAUGCAAGUCGAACGGUCUUUCUAUGGAAGCUUGCUUCCACUGAGAAGAUAGUGGCGAACGGGUGAGUAACACGUGGGUAACCUGCCCAUAAGAGGGGGAUAACAUCCGGAAACGGGUGCUAAUACCGCAUAGUUUUUCUUGAUCGCAUGAUUGAGAAAGGAAAGACGGCCUUUGUGCUGUCGCUUAUGGAUGGACCCGCGGCGUAUUAGUUAGUUGGUGAGGUAAUGGCUCACCAAGACGAUGAUACGUAGCCGACCUGAGAGGGUGAUCGGCCACAUUGGGACUGAGACACGGCCCAAACUCCUACGGGAGGCAGCAGUAGGGAAUCUUCCGCAAUGGACGAAAGUCUGACGGAGCAACGCCGCGUGAGUGAAGAAAGGUUUUCGGAUCGUAAAACUCUGUUGUCAGAGAAGAACAAGUUGGAGAGUAACUGCUCCAGCCUUGACGGUAUCUGACCAGAAAGCCACGGCUAACUACGUGCCAGCCGCAGC
RNAcentral lists this ribosomal RNA (517 nucleotides) under uncultured bacterium. Its description in RNAcentral is "bacterial SSU rRNA". It matches the Rfam family "Bacterial small subunit ribosomal RNA", at positions 29 to 518 of the family's 1533-position model. The record is from RNAcentral.